Molecule: non-coding RNA, 72 nt
Organism: Nicotiana sylvestris (wood tobacco)
Lineage: Eukaryota; Viridiplantae; Streptophyta; Magnoliopsida; Solanales; Solanaceae
Source: Rfam
GCGCUUGUAACUCAGUGAAUAGAGUAUUGUUUCAUAAGCAUAAUGUCGCAGGUUCGACCCCUACCUGGCGCA